This is a long non-coding RNA of Drosophila mauritiana, 97 nucleotides long. RefSeq lists it as uncharacterized. The transcript is spliced from 3 exons. NCBI's taxonomy places the organism in Eukaryota, Metazoa, Arthropoda, Insecta, Diptera, Drosophilidae. The record is from RefSeq and is a predicted model, not a curated record.
UUACAGAUUUCCCAUAUUACGUUGCUCACGUUGCUUAUUUUUCUUUAUUCAUAAUGUUGAUGUAUUUUUGUUUUCCUUUUUUUUUUCCUCUUAGAUU